RNAcentral lists this ribosomal RNA (255 nucleotides) under uncultured bacterium. Its description in RNAcentral is "partial 16S ribosomal RNA". It matches the Rfam family "Bacterial small subunit ribosomal RNA", at positions 524 to 776 of the family's 1533-position model. The record is from RNAcentral.
UACGUAGGGUGCGAGCGUUGUCCGGAAUUAUUGGGCGUAAAGAGCUUGUAGGCGGUUUGUCGCGUCUGCUGUGAAAAUCCGGGGCUCAACCCUGGACUUGCAGUGGGUACGGGCAGACUAGAGUGUGGUAGGGGAGACUGGAAUUCCUGGUGUAGCGGUGAAAUGCGCAGAUAUCAGGAGGAACACCGAUGGCGAAGGCAGGUCUCUGGGCCGAUACUGACGCUGAGGAGCGAAAAGCGUGGGGGAGCGAACAGG